This 220-nucleotide long non-coding RNA is filed under the name Panax ginseng (ginseng). Its description in RNAcentral is "long non-coding RNA (PGIN_LNC003209)". Lineage: Eukaryota; Viridiplantae; Streptophyta; Magnoliopsida; Apiales; Araliaceae. The record is from RNAcentral.
AAAUUAACACUUAGAAAAUUCUGGGCUGCCGAGAAUUUUCCGGUCAAUGCCGGUCAACCCACUUUGACCUUAAAUAACUCUUAAUCCAUAAUAUAUAUGGACCUGAUUCGUUUUGGAGCUUAUAUAACACAUGACAAGAUACACAUAACAACCUUUAGAACACAAAACACAUUAAAGAUAACCGAGAUAUAAGGCCUGACAUUUUCCAAAAUAAUAUUUU